RNAcentral lists this small RNA (28 nucleotides) under Bombyx mori (domestic silkworm). Its description in RNAcentral is "ovarian small RNA-28863". The record is from RNAcentral. Lineage: Eukaryota; Metazoa; Arthropoda; Insecta; Lepidoptera; Bombycidae.
UCGCUGUGGUGUUAAUUUUAAGCCGUUG